AUCGAAGCCAUUUGCACUGUUGAAGUGAAGAGCAUCUGCUUUUCGAUCAGUCCCUUCAUCGCGAAUAUUUCACUUUUCAUUUUUCUUGUUUCUUUUCUCUUGUUCCACCAGGUGUCCUUGCACUUUCUUGCUCCAUAUUGUGGGAGGUCCAAGCCCUGUUCAGAACUAGGGCUUGCCAUUCACCUGCUACCCAUUUUCCUGCGAGUUCCUCGGGGCUAGGAGAAAAGUUUGAGUUCUGUAAUGGGAAAGCAUUCAAAGACCAGUUGCAAGUCGGCUUCCCACAAGCUAUUUAAGGAUAAGGCAAAGAACCGGGUUGAUG
RNAcentral lists this unclassified non-coding RNA (319 nucleotides) under Hevea brasiliensis (rubber tree). The record is from RNAcentral. Lineage: Eukaryota; Viridiplantae; Streptophyta; Magnoliopsida; Malpighiales; Euphorbiaceae.